AGGGUGGCAAGCACUUGUUGCUUAUGUGAAUAUUGGGUGCUACUAUAUAUUUGGGAUCCCAUUUGGCCUCUUAUUGGGUUUUAAGCUCGACAUGGGUGUCACAGGAAUUUGGUGCGGAAUGCUGUGUGGAACCAUUCUACAAGCAUGUGUGCUCAUCUGGUUUAAUUACAGAACCAAUUGGAAUAAAGAGGCAACAAUUGCUGAGAAGAGGAUACGAAAGUGGGGAAGACACUACAAUGAGAUAUCUAAUGGUAUAGAAGAGAAUUAAGUAAAGUGGCUCAGGAAGCGUCUUACUUAGAUUCAAAUAACUAGAUCAUAAAAUUGCAUUUCUUUUCACAUUGUUUUGGGAGAUACUCUUAACUUCAAUUCAAAACUAAC
Molecule: long non-coding RNA, 378 nt
Organism: Macadamia integrifolia
Lineage: Eukaryota; Viridiplantae; Streptophyta; Magnoliopsida; Proteales; Proteaceae
Exons: 3
Source: RefSeq, a predicted model, not a curated record